GACGAACGCUGGCGGCGUGCUUAACACAUGCAAGUCGAACGGAAAGGCCCUGCUUUUGUGGGGUGCUCGAGUGGCGAACGGGUGAGUAACACGUGAGUAACCUGCCCUUGACUUUGGGAUAACUUCAGGAAACUGGGGCUAAUACCGGAUAGGAGCUCCUGCUGCAUGGUGGGGGUUGGAAAGUUUCGGCGGUUGGGGAUGGACUCGCGGCUUAUCAGCUUGUUGGUGGGGUAGUGGCUUACCAAGGCUUUGACGGGUAGCCGGCCUGAGAGGGUGACCGGCUACAUUGGGACUGAGAUACAGCCCAGACUCCUACGGGAGGCAGCAGUGGGGAAUAGUGCACAAUGGGCGGAAGCCUGAUGCAGCAACGCCGCGUGCGGGAUGACGGCCUUCGGGUUGUAAACCGCUUUCGCCUGUGACGAAGCGUGAGUGACGGUAAUGGGUAAAGAAGCACCGGCUAACUACGUG
Molecule: ribosomal RNA, 468 nt
Filed under: uncultured bacterium
Lineage: Bacteria
Description: partial 16S ribosomal RNA
Rfam family: Bacterial small subunit ribosomal RNA
Source: RNAcentral